GGAAAAGAUACCAUAUGACAGACGGCGCUAUGUAGCCAUUGUAUAAGAAUGAUGUCUUUGUGUUUUGUUAGUGUUGCUCUCCGGUAACAAGUGUGAUGAUACUAGGAGAUGGAAUUCAUGGUAGAAGGGGAGGACUUCAACCACCACAGUUCCUGCAAGCCUUAGAGUGCAAGUUAGUCCUUUUAAAUCACAUGGUGUUCUUAUAUGAUCAUCCAGCAAGAGAGAAGAAACAAACUAUGUUUUCUGCACAAAGACAGAAGGAAUGAGAAGAGGAACGGAUCACAUCAAAUGGAUUCUGAGAGUGCCACAAAACACUUGUUGCAUGUUGUCCCGACACUGCAAUAUGAUAUUUGCUUUGUGAUGUUGUAUCAAUAUGUGAGACGAUCUGUCUUCUUGAGAGUCUCAUGUCUGACAAGGCAGUUCCCAACUCAGAGUCUCACUUCUUUUAAAGCAAUUUUAUCUGUACACGUGUAAACAGCAGCCAACUCUUUGGGAUCUCCAGAGCAAUCUGUGUAAACUUAAGCACUGAAAAAUCUGAAUGACCUACAAUUCCACAGGCAAACAACUCAAAUUAUUAGUUGUAAUCCCAAGUAUAUCAUCAUAUACCAGAGAGUAUAUCAGUACAUCACUGUGAAUAACUAUCAGGCAGUCUUCCCGAUGAACAGCAUGACAGAAGAAUGUAUGGGCUAAGAAUAAUAGUUUGUCUUGUUUGCCUGUCAAGAAAAUUCUGAAAGAUCCAUAUUUUUGGGUAGGAUUUGCGCAGCAAGAACUGUGUGUUCUUCUUGUUAAUCAAACCUAGUAGUAAAGGAAUUGUUUCUGUUUCAUUAAAUGGGUUAUCCCCCAUGUGAUUCCUUUCUUUUGUUUAUUUUUAAAGGAUAGGAGAGCAGGUAGAAAAGAAAAUGUGCUGUACUAUUAUUUUUUUCCCAAUUUGUAAUCUUGUGAGAAAAAACGUGGAGAUGUUAUAAUCCCCGAACUCCCCAAUUACACUCAUUCAAACUGGUUUUUUUUCUGUGAUUGUCAGCAAUACUGCAUCUAGAGAAUCUCAAAUUGGUGGGAUUUGAUUUAGGAUUCUGCAGUAAGUCAUGAAUUAUUAGAGAAGAAAUUCUGCAUGGUGAUUAACACAUUUUCUCUUGCUCCAUCAAUAUUGUUCUUCCACCCUUAUGUGAGGAGCUGUAAGCAAAUAUCUCCCUCAGGUGGGGUCAGUGCCCACAUGCCUUGAAAGACAUCUUGGAGGACUGAUAGAUCCCAGGAAGCUCUGGAGCUCAAACAUGUGUUUGGUCAUGAUUAUUUUAAUAAACAAUAUUUCUGCUUCCUUCA
This 1317-nucleotide long non-coding RNA is filed under the name Phasianus colchicus (ring-necked pheasant). RNAcentral describes it as "lncRNA (ENSPCLG00000012269.1)". The record is from RNAcentral. Lineage: Eukaryota; Metazoa; Chordata; Aves; Galliformes; Phasianidae.